Molecule: ribosomal RNA, 275 nt
Filed under: uncultured bacterium
Lineage: Bacteria
Description: partial 16S ribosomal RNA
Rfam family: Bacterial small subunit ribosomal RNA
Source: RNAcentral
CUAAGUUUGAUGGCGACCGGCGCACGGGUGAGUAACACGUAUCCAACCUGCCGAUGACUCGGGGAUAGCCUUUCGAAAGAAAGAUUAAUACCCGAUGGCAUAGUUCUUCCGCAUGGUGGAACUAUUAAAGAAUUUCGGUCAUCGAUGGGGAUGCGUUCCAUUAGGUUGUUGGCGGGGUAACGGCCCACCAAACCUUCGAUGGAUAGGGGUUCUGAGAGGAAGGUCCCCCACAUUGGAACUGAGACACGGUCCAAACUCCUACGGGAGGCAGCAUG